GAUGAAGAACGUAGCGAAAUGCGAUACGUAAUGUGAAUUGCAGAAUUCAGUGAAUCAUCGAAUCUUUGAACGCAUAUUGCGCUCUCUGGUAUUCUGGAGAGCAUGCUUGUUUGAGUAUCAGUAAACACCUCAACUCCCUUUUCUUUUUUGAAAUGGGAGCUGGACUUGAGUGAUCCCAACACUUUUCUCACUGGAAAGUGGCGGGUCACUUGAAAUGCAGGUGCAGCUGGACUUUUCUCUGAGCUAUAAGCAUAUCUAUUUAGUCUGCCUAAAAAACAGAUUAUUACCUUUGCUACAGCUAACAUAAAGGAGAUGAGUUCUUGUGCUGACUGAUGCAGGAUUCACAGAGACAGCUUUGCGGCUGACUUUGUAAACUCGAUCUCAAAUCAAGUAAGACUACCCGCUGAACUUAAGCAUAUCAAUAAGCGGAGGA
This 433-nucleotide unclassified non-coding RNA is filed under the name soil metagenome. Its description in RNAcentral is "partial contains 5.8S ribosomal RNA, internal transcribed spacer 2, and large subunit ribosomal RNA". The stretch from base 1 to 120 matches the Rfam family "5.8S ribosomal RNA", at positions 35 to 154 of the family's 154-position model. The record is from RNAcentral.